This 440-nucleotide ribosomal RNA is filed under the name uncultured bacterium. RNAcentral describes it as "partial 16S ribosomal RNA". It matches the Rfam family "Bacterial small subunit ribosomal RNA", at positions 339 to 795 of the family's 1533-position model. The record is from RNAcentral.
CUACGGGGGGCUGCAGUGGGGAAUAUUGCACAAUGGAGGAAACUCUGAUGCAGCAACGCCGCGUGGAGGAUGACACUUUUCGGAGCGUAAACUCCUUUUAUAUAGGAAGAAGAUGACGGUACUAUAUGAAUAAGCGCCGGCUAACUCCGUGCCAGCAGCCGCGGUAAUACGGAGGGCGCAAGACGUUACUCGGAAUCACUGGGCGUAAAGAGCGUGUAGGCGGAUUAAAAAGUCAGAAGUGAAAUCCUAUAGCUUAACUAUAGAACUGCUUCUGAAACUCUUAAUCUAGAAUAUGGGAGAGGUAGAUGGAAUUUCUGGUGUAGGGGUAAUAUCCGUAGAGAUCGGAAGGAAUACCGAUUGCGAAGGCGAUCUACUAGAACAUUAUUGACGCUGAGACGCGAAAGCGUGGGGAGCAAACAGGAUUAGAUACCCCAGUAGUC